Molecule: ribosomal RNA, 406 nt
Filed under: uncultured bacterium
Lineage: Bacteria
Description: partial 16S ribosomal RNA
Rfam family: Bacterial small subunit ribosomal RNA
Source: RNAcentral
AUUGAACGCUGGCGGCAGGCCUAACACAUGCAAGUCGAACGAGUGGCGGACGGGUGAGUAAUGUCUGGGAAACUGCCCGAUAGAGGGGGAUAACUACUGGAAACGGUAGCUAAUACCGCGUACAAUAGGAUGUACCCAUAUGGGAUGAGCUUGUAGGUGAGGUAAUGGCUCACCUAGGCGACGAUCCCUAGCUGGUCUGAGAGGAUGAACAGCCACACUGGAACUGAGACACGGUCCAGACUCCUACGGGAGGCAGCAGUGGGGAAUAUUGCACAAGUGGCGCAAGCCUGAUGCAGCCAUGCCGCGUGUAUGAAGAAGGCCUUAGGGUUGUAAAGUACUUUCAGCUGGGAGGCGUUACCCGCAGAAGAAGCACCGGCUAACUCCGUGCCAGCAGCCGCGGUAAUUC